RNAcentral lists this non-coding RNA (19 nucleotides) under Arabidopsis thaliana (thale cress). The record is from RNAcentral. Lineage: Eukaryota; Viridiplantae; Streptophyta; Magnoliopsida; Brassicales; Brassicaceae.
CAUUGUCAGGUGGGGAGUU